AGCCUUCUGGAUCCGUGCCGAGAUCUCGUCAGACUCCAGACCGUCAGAACUGAUGGGACUCCGAAUAUAAGUGAAGUA
Schistosoma mansoni is the source of this 78-nucleotide non-coding RNA. The record is from Rfam. Lineage: Eukaryota; Metazoa; Platyhelminthes; Trematoda; Strigeidida; Schistosomatidae.